RNAcentral lists this ribosomal RNA (352 nucleotides) under uncultured bacterium. RNAcentral's name for it is "bacterial SSU rRNA". It matches the Rfam family "Bacterial small subunit ribosomal RNA", at positions 917 to 1269 of the family's 1533-position model. The record is from RNAcentral.
GGACCCGCACAAGCGGUGGAGUAUGUGGCUUAAUUCGAUGCAACGCGAAGAACCUUACCUAGGCUUGACAUGUAUUGCUAAGCACGUGAAAGCGUGUGACUCUUCGGAGACCUUACACAGGUGCUGCAUGGCCGUCGUCAGCUCGUGUCGUGAGAUGUUUGGUUAAGUCCAGCAACGAGCGCAACCCCUGUGGAUAGUUGCCAGCACGUAAUGGUGGGGACUCUAUCCAGACUGCCCAGGUCAACUGGGAGGAAGGUGGGGAUGACGUCAGGUCAGUAUGGCCCUUACGCCUAGGGCUGCACACGUACUACAAUGCCCAGUACAAUGAGAACCGAGACCGCGAGGUGGAGGA